RNAcentral lists this ribosomal RNA (425 nucleotides) under uncultured bacterium. RNAcentral describes it as "partial 16S ribosomal RNA". It matches the Rfam family "Bacterial small subunit ribosomal RNA", at positions 354 to 796 of the family's 1533-position model. The record is from RNAcentral.
GUGGGGAAUCUUGCGCAAUGGGCGAAAGCCUGACGCAGCCAUGCCGCGUGAAUGAUGAAGGUCUUAGGAUUGUAAAAUUCUUUCACCGGGGACGAUAAUGACGGUACCCGGAGAAGAAGCCCCGGCUAACUUCGUGCCAGCAGCCGCGGUAAUACGAAGGGGGCUAGCGUUGCUCGGAAUUACUGGGCGUAAAGGGCGCGUAGGCGGACAGUUUAGUCAGAGGUGAAAGCCCAGGGCUCAACCUUGGAAGUGCCUUUGAUACUGGCUGUCUUGAGUACGGGAGAGGUGAGUGGAACUCCGAGUGUAGAGGUGAAAUUCGUAGAUAAUCGGAAGAACACCAGUGGCGAAGGCGACUCACUGGCCCGUUACUGACGCUGAGGCGCGAAAGCGUGGGGAGCAAACAGGAUUAGAAACCCUUGUAGUCC